RNAcentral lists this ribosomal RNA (789 nucleotides) under uncultured Campylobacter sp. Its description in RNAcentral is "bacterial SSU rRNA". It matches the Rfam family "Bacterial small subunit ribosomal RNA", at positions 622 to 1408 of the family's 1533-position model. Lineage: Bacteria; Pseudomonadati; Campylobacterota; Epsilonproteobacteria; Campylobacterales; Campylobacteraceae. The record is from RNAcentral.
UGCUUGGGAAACUGAUAGUCUAGAGUGAGGGAGAGGCAGAUGGAAUUGGUGGUGUAGGGGUAAAAUCCGUAGAUAUCACCAAGAAUACCCAUUGCGAAGGCGAUCUGCUGGAACUCAACUGACGCUAAGGCGCGAAAGCGUGGGGAGCAAACAGGAUUAGAUACCCUGGUAGUCCACGCCCUAAACGAUGUACACUAGUUGUUGGGAUGCUAGUCAUCUCAGUAAUGCAGCUAACGCAUUAAGUGUACCGCCUGGGGAGUACGGUCGCAAGAUUAAAACUCAAAGGAAUAGACGGGGACCCGCACAAGCGGUGGAGCAUGUGGUUUAAUUCGAAGAUACGCGAAGAACCUUACCUGGGCUUGAUAUCCUAAGAACCUUAUAGAGAUAUGAGGGUGCUAGCUUGCUAGAACUUAGAGACAGGUGCUGCACGGCUGUCGUCAGCUCGUGUCGUGAGAUGUUGGGUUAAGUCCCGCAACGAGCGCAACCCACGUAUUUAGUUGCUAACGGUUCGGCCGAGCACUCUAAAUAGACUGCCUUCGUAAGGAGGAGGAAGGUGUGGACGACGUCAAGUCAUCAUGGCCCUUAUGCCCAGGGCGACACACGUGCUACAAUGGCAUAUACAAUGAGACGCAAUACCGCGAGGUGGAGCAAAUCUAUAAAAUAUGUCCCAGUUCGGAUUGUUCUCUGCAACUCGAGAGCAUGAAGCCGGAAUCGCUAGUAAUCGUAGAUCAGCCAUGCUACGGUGAAUACGUUCCCGGGUCUUGUACUCACCGCCCGUCACACCAUGGG